RNAcentral lists this long non-coding RNA (352 nucleotides) under Vigna radiata. Its description in RNAcentral is "long non-coding RNA (VRAD_LNC003313)". Lineage: Eukaryota; Viridiplantae; Streptophyta; Magnoliopsida; Fabales; Fabaceae. The record is from RNAcentral.
UUGUAUCAGCUUUGUCGCUUAAAAUUCUAUCUUCUUUGUGAUAAAAGAUUGCGCUUGUAUUCACUAUAAAGAACUUUUCAAGUUUUACCAAACAAAAUAUCCAAUUGGUUAAGUUGAAAAUUUCAUUCUUCUUUGAUACUCAGGCUUUGCAAGUGGUCUUUAUUGGGUUGGACGUGCUCUUAAAACCUUUGUUUUUGCUUUUUGCUAAUAGGUGGUGGUUUUGGUUUCAAUUCCCUUAUUUUUAUGUUGUUUCUAUGUUUGGAGUUUUCGUCGAUCUAUUUUAAGGUUGUUUUUAGGUUUAAACAUCUUUUUGGUCCCUAAGUUAUGAGCGGAUGUUCAGUUUAGUCCCCGU